This 429-nucleotide ribosomal RNA is filed under the name Gemmatimonadota bacterium. Its description in RNAcentral is "Gemmatimonadetes bacterium partial 16S ribosomal RNA". It matches the Rfam family "Bacterial small subunit ribosomal RNA", at positions 355 to 776 of the family's 1533-position model. The record is from RNAcentral. Lineage: Bacteria; Pseudomonadati; Gemmatimonadota.
UAGGGAAUCUUCGGCAAUGGACGAAAGUCUGACCGAGCAACGCCGCGUGAGUGAAGAAGGUUUUCGGAUCGUAAAACUCUGUUGUUAGAGAAGAACAAGGACGUUAGUAACUGAACGUCCCCUGACGGUAUCUAACCAGAAAGCCACGGCUAACUACGUGCCAGCAGCCGCGGUAAUACGUAGGUGGUAAGCGUUGUCCGGAUUUAUUGGGCGUAAAGCGAGCGCAGGCGGUUUCUUAAGUCUGAUGUGAAAGCCCCCGGCUCAACCGGGGAGGGUCAUUGGAAACUGGGAGACUUGAGUGCAGAAGAGGAGAGUGGAAUUCCAGGUGUAGCGGUGAAAUGCGUAGAUAUAUGGAGGAACACCAGUGGCGAAGGCGGCUCUCUGGUCUGUAACUGACGCUGAGGCUCGAAAGCGUGGGGAGCAAACAGG